Molecule: ribosomal RNA, 396 nt
Filed under: uncultured bacterium
Lineage: Bacteria
Description: partial 16S ribosomal RNA
Rfam family: Bacterial small subunit ribosomal RNA
Source: RNAcentral
AUACGUAGGUGGCGAGCGUUGUCCGGAUUUACUGGGUGUAAAGGGCGAGUAGGCGGGCUUGCAAGUCAGAUGUGAAAUACCGAGGCUCAACUUCGGGGCUGCAUUUGAAACUGCGAGUCUUGAGUGAUGGAGAGGCAGGCGGAAUUUCCAGCGUGGCGGUAAAAGGCAUAGAUAUUGGGAAGAACACCAGUGGCGAAGGCGGCCUGCUGGACAUUAACUGACGCUGAGGAGCGAAAGUGUGGGGAGCAAACAGGAUUAGAUACCCUGGUAGUCCACACCGUAAACGAUGGAUACUAGGUGUGCGGGGACUGACCCCCUGCGUGCCGCAGUUAACACAAUAAGUAUCCCACCUGGGGAGUACGAUCGCAAGAUUGAAACUCAAAUGAAUUGACGGGG